Molecule: long non-coding RNA, 975 nt
Organism: Rosa rugosa (rugosa rose)
Lineage: Eukaryota; Viridiplantae; Streptophyta; Magnoliopsida; Rosales; Rosaceae
Exons: 2
Source: RefSeq, a predicted model, not a curated record
GGUUCCAAGACUUAGAAGUCUUCUCGGUCAUCCUUCAUCUCUCCAAAAUAUCAGAAACCAUAAACUGAUAAACCUGCAAUAUAUGUAACUGUAACUGAGGUUGGAAGAGAAAGAAAGGUUGAAGAUGUCGCUGGUGUGUUCCCAGAAAUGUUCAGUACUAUUUUCACAGGGCCGCGCAUGGCCGGCUGAAGCAUAUUGAAAACGGCAUGUGGAAAGAUGGGACAAGAAGCUCAUCGAGAAUUCUUCUCUUCCGAAUCAUGAACUGCUUCAGCUGUUGUGAUGAAGAUGAUAUGCAUAAAUCUACUGACAAUGGAGGUGCUUACAUGAUGAAAAAUCCUGUAGGUAAUGCUCACCGUCCUGUAGUGUAGGUCUUGUGUUGAAUCCAGCCUGUGUGUUAAAACGGGCUAUAUUUUGAUGCUUCUUUUUUAUUUUGGGUAUAUGACUUGCAUUUGUUUUUUGUAUAUCUGCCACUGGUUUUGUCAAUUCGAGUUUGGAGUUCAAACUGAGUUGGGUUUCAUGACACGGGAAAUGAGGGAAGUCAUCAUGCCUCCGGUAAUGCGCCCAAGGGUGGUCAAAUGGUAAAGGUCCAGCCUAUUGAAGUAAUGAAGUUCCGCUUAUACCAGUAGAGGAGCUAAAGGAAAUUACUAUUAAUUAACUUUGGGACAAAUGCCUUGAUUGGGGAAGGUUCAUAUGGAAGUGUAUAUUAUGGAGUGCUUAAAAGCGGGGAGCAUGCAGCCAUCAAGAAGCUGGAUGUAUAACAUAUAAAUAAGUGUCUAAUUAAAAAAAAAAAAUUAUAGUUAGUAAUAAUUGAUUGAAGAAAUGAGAAAAAAGUUAAAAAUGUUAUAAACUAGAGAAAAAUAUAGAGAUAGAAGCGAGAAAUAGAAUAUGGAGAAGGUAGAAGUGUGUAUUUCAUUCUCAUUAGACCCCUUUAUAUAGGAGUAAUGUUUACAUCAUAAGGACAUAACUAAUGAGUAU